RNAcentral lists this ribosomal RNA (498 nucleotides) under uncultured bacterium. RNAcentral's name for it is "partial 16S ribosomal RNA". It matches the Rfam family "Bacterial small subunit ribosomal RNA", at positions 30 to 523 of the family's 1533-position model. The record is from RNAcentral.
AUUGAACGCUGGCGGCAUGCCUUACACAUGCAAGUCGAACGGUAACAGGUCUUCGGAUGCUGACGAGUGGCGAACGGGUGAGUAAUACAUCGGAACGUGCCUAGUAGUGGGGGAUAACUACUCGAAAGAGUGGCUAAUACCGCAUGAGAUCUACGGAUGAAAGCAGGGGAUCGCAAGACCUUGUGCUACUAGAGCGGCCGAUGGCAGAUUAGGUAGUUGGUGGGGUAAAAGCUUACCAAGCCGACGGCCUGUAGCUGGUCUGGGAGGACGAUCAGCCACACUGGGACUGAGACACGGCCCAGACUCCUACGGGAGGCAGCAGUGGGGAAUUUUGGACAAUGGGCGAAAGCCUGAUCCAGCAAUGCCGCGUGCAGGAUGAAGGCCUUCGGGUUGUAAACUGCUUUUGUACGGAACGAAAAGCCCCGGGUUAAUACCCUGGGGUCAUGACGGUACCGUAAGAAUAAGCACCGGCUAACUACGUGCCAGCCGCCGCCGUAA